Molecule: long non-coding RNA, 1873 nt
Organism: Drosophila novamexicana
Lineage: Eukaryota; Metazoa; Arthropoda; Insecta; Diptera; Drosophilidae
Exons: 2
Source: RefSeq, a predicted model, not a curated record
ACAGCUUUAAAACAUUGAGUAAUUUUCGUUAAUGUACAGUUGUGCAAUGCAUUCACUGAAAGUUAAUUAGGAUUUUAGCGAGCAUUUUGCCGGAAAUUAUUGCAUUAGCUAAGUAAUAAAAUUACAGCGCAACAUAGUGUUCCGGGAACAGACAUGACACCAUCCGCUCGUGUGCACUUCCUAAAAUGCUGUACAGUAAUAUGUCGCUGGCGUUUGCCAUGGUUACCUAUUUAUUGACCGGGAGCCUCCUAAUUGGGGUGUGCCAAUGGUGCACGGUAUUAAUUAUGGGCAGACGUGUGUUUUGGCUGGCGCUGCCCAUGGCCAGCGGGAAAGCAUCAUUCGAGUAGGAUUUUAUGAGUAAUCAGCAGAGUUAAGUGCACUGCGACCGCCUUUUAGAAAACUAAGGGAAUAGCUCAUUUUGUGAAUUUUGGAUCAACUUCCAACAUUCGUUAGUUGGUUUCCAGUCAUAGCCUGGGUUGCUGUCUGGUAGCAACAAUAGCAGGCCAGGAAGCUAAUUAGGAACGUUUUGAUUUACAUGCCUAGGUCCUAGUCCAUCAAAUCUUGCCGCUGUCCAGAAGGGUGAUAUCCUACUUUUUUGCUAAAUCGUCAGCCUCGUUUCUCGGAAUUCCAGCAAAGCCUGACACCAAUCAGAAAGUUACCCUAUUGGUCUUGCAUGCUCAUUCAGGAAUUAGACUCCCGGCCGUUCCAGCUCAGACAUGACCUUGUAGGCGGUCAACGCUUAGAUCUCUACUUAUGAAUACAGUCGAUUUCAAAUUGAGAGAUGCCAAAAUAUUAUAUUUUCCCACUGAGUCUGAGUCUGAGUAAGCGUCCGUCAUAUGCUUUCCUUUCAUAUUGUAGGUGAGAUAGGUAGAGAGUCUGGUCUAUUCACAAUUACUAGUUGGCUCUGCGCAGCAGUGGUCGCUACCUACUUCCUGUAAUUCGAAUUUGCCUUGUUUUCUUCUUUUUUCGAUGUGGAUGUAAGCAGGUUUAUCCCAGGCAGAAGUCUGUAGCCACUGAAGGAUAAUAACGCAUUGCGCCCGAGGCACACGUGUCUGGCGAAUUAUGGUGCCAUUGACGCUUGCGAUCAUUCGCUGCCUGGCGCUCCACUCUGAAGGAGACACUGCCCAGCGCUAUAAGUUUCGCCUCUUUCGGUCGUAAGCCCCUCUCCAGGUGACUAAGGGACCAGCUUGGAGCUUGGCUACUUAAUCCUACAUAAGUGGUUGCCCAGAUUCGCGUAUGGGAGGACACCGAUGCCGGACACCGCAUAACCAACCUCUACUUGUGGUGUGGAGGCAAACUCCUUUGUACGCAACGGCAUGAUUACGGUGAUGAGCGGGGCACCUGCUCGGCGGAUACAUUCUGUGUUAAAGUUAACAAGAGACCCGUUGCGCCGCAACCAUCGGAAAGAUUUAAUUUCUAUGAAAGCUAAUACAAUGAUGGCUUAGGCCAAAAAAUAUAUAGGUUAGCGCUCAAUCGACUUUACUUUAUAUCCUGCGUGCUUCUUAUUCAUGCCAUAUACAAACAUUUGUGUGAACACCCAAGGCCACAUAUUUAUGGAGCGACGGUCGAGUUGGGUCCUGAUUUAAAUACAGCAAAAGCAAAUUGUGAGCUGUGAGCAAAUUCUGAGAACGAGCUAUCUGCCAAUGCAUGCAGUUCCGUAAUGUGGCAUGGGUGUUUGCCAUGGUUACCUUUUUAUUACUGGAAUCCUCUUAAUCUGGCGUGUUACCGUAGUCUACUAUUUAUGGUUGCUGCACACGGCCGACAGCUUAACUCAAAUGCAAUGCUUCAGUUUUUAAGAGGGAAAGGAUGACAAAAAGAGCGACGCAUUUAUGGAACACAUCAAGCAUAUCUUUCAAUAAACAAUUGGCAAGCA